GACGGACGCUGGCGGCGUGCUUAACACAUGCAAGUCGAACGGAAAGGCCCUGCUUUUGUGGGGUGCUCGAGUGGCGAACGGGUGAGUAACACGUGAGUAACCUGCCCUUGACUUUGGGAUAACUUCAGGAAACUGGGGCUAAUACCGGAUAGGAGCUCCUGCUGCAUGGUGGGGGUUGGAAAGUUUCGGCGGUUGGGGAUGGACUCGCGGCUUAUCAGCUUGUUGGUGGGGUAGUGGCUUACCAAGGCUUUGACGGGUAGCCGGCCUGAGAGGGUGACCGGCCACAAUGGGACUGAGAUACGGCCCAGACUCCUACGGGAGGCAGCAGUGGGGAAUAUUGCACAAUGGGCGGAAGCCUGAUGCAGCAACGCCGCGUGCGGGAUGACGGCCUUCGGGUUGUAAACCGCUUUCGCCUGUGACGAAGCGUGAGUGACGGUAAUGGGUAAAGAAGCACCGGCUAACUACGUG
Molecule: ribosomal RNA, 468 nt
Filed under: uncultured bacterium
Lineage: Bacteria
Description: partial 16S ribosomal RNA
Rfam family: Bacterial small subunit ribosomal RNA
Source: RNAcentral